AUUUGCAAGACGCUGGACCGGGUCUGACACCUGGCCGGGCUCGAGGUGGGUCUCAGGCCAGCCCGUUGAAAGAAGUCACAAUUAGUGGCCUUCCCCUAUUCGGUGCGGAAGAGAUUUUAGGGUUCCAAUCAAUCGGAUAGGGGCUCCGGUGAAGAUGAAGGAUCUUGGGUUAUUGAGAAUUCUUUUAUGAAAUAUACAUAGGAUUGGAAUUUGAUGGAAAUGGAGGGGGGGAGUUCGUCGGGAUCCGCCGGAGGAACUCAAACCCACCGCCGCUUCUCCCCAGUGCGCUCAAGAGCAUUCUAUAAAUUUACCCAGCAGAACCUUCCAGCUUGUAAACCUGUUCUUACGCCGGGAUGGGUAAUAAUGACUUUUCUGAUCGUGGGCAUUGUUUUUGUACCUGUUGGACUUGUUUGUCUUCAUGCUUCUGAAAGUGUUGUGGAAAUAAUGGAUCGUUAUGACGUUGAAUGUAUACCUGAGCCUUAUAGAAGUAAUAAAAUAGCUUAUAUCAAGGAUAGUUCAAUUUCAAAGAAUUGUACUCGAAUGAUAAAGGUUCAGAAACAUAUGAAAGCACCAAUUUAUAUCUAUUAUGAACUUGAUAACUACUACCAGAACCAUCGGCGGUAUGUAAAAAGUAGGAGCGACAAACAACUCCUUUAUGGAUUGAAGUACAAGGACACAAGUUCUUGCAAACCUGAAGAGACAAGCAAUGGUCUCCCAAUUGUUCCUUGUGGGUUGAUUGCGUGGAGUUUGUUCAAUGAUUCUUAUGCCUUUGUACGUGGUAGUGGAGAAAUGAGUGUCAACAGGAAAAAUAUUGCUUGGAAAAGUGAUCGGGAGCAUAAGUUUGGGAAGCAUGUGAAGCCCUUUAAUUUUCAAAAUGGAACCUUAAUUGGUGGAGGAAAACUUGACCCAAGCAUUCCUUAGUUGAGCGACCAAGAGGAUCUCAUAGUAUGGAUGCGUACUGCUGCUCUGCCUACCUUCAGGAAACUGUAUGGUAUAAUUGAAGAGGAUAUAGAUGCUGAUGAGAUCAUAACAGUACAUCUUUUUAACAACUACAAUACUUACAGCUUUGGGGGGAAGAAAAAGAUUGUUCUUACAACAUCCAAUUGGCUGGGAGGCAAAAAUGGUUUCCUUGGGAUGGCCUAUAUUGCCACUGGCACCUUCUUCAUUCUGAUAUCAGUCUUGUUUGCUUUGAUUCAUGUGAAAAACCCAAGGCCCCAUGGCGAUCCAACUUAUUGGUCUUGGAACAGGAAAAGCAACGCCAGCUAAUGUGAGGUUUCCGGACCAGCAGUUUCAACCCUCGGUCAUAUUUUCAACUUACAAGCUUUAUGAUUGAAAUCUAGGUUCCAGAACAGGUUAUUUUCUUUUGCUUAUCAGGUCUCAAACAAUUCGAUUUGCUGUGCCACUAGGGCGGAUCACUUUCAGAAUCCAUUCAGUUUCAUGUGGCCAAUCAGCGGCUGGGGAUCAUCCAGAUUAGCUAUGGUGGCAUUUAUGCUUGGAGCUGGCACAAUCAAGGGUGACAGAUUUUAAGCAACAUGUCUGUUUUCCUUUCAAAAAUGCUCCCAUGUGUUUCUUUGUGUAUCUACCCACCGGGCUAUUCUCAGCUUAAUGGACAGUUCUAUUUUGGUGUAUAAUUUUAGUAACUCUGUGCAUAAACUGUAACCCUUUUUUUUAAUAUAGAAUUCACGGUUGAAGGCAAUUUUACUGA
Phoenix dactylifera (date palm) is the source of this 1705-nucleotide non-coding RNA. NCBI's taxonomy places the organism in Eukaryota, Viridiplantae, Streptophyta, Magnoliopsida, Arecales, Arecaceae. The record is from RefSeq and is a predicted model, not a curated record.